AACGAACGCUGGCGGCAUGCCUAACACAUGCAAGUCGAACGAGACCUUCGGGUCUAGUGGCGCACGGGUGCGUAACGCGUGGGAAUCUGCCCUUGGGUUCGGAAUAACAGUUGGAAACGACUGCUAAUACCGGAUGAUGACGUAAGUCCAAAGAUUUAUCGCCCAAGGAUGAGCCCGCGUAGGAUUAGCUAGUUGGUGAGGUAAAGGCUCACCAAGGCGACGAUCCUUAGCUGGUCUGAGAGGAUGAUCAGCCACACUGGGACUGAGACACGGCCCAGACUCCUACGGGAGGCAGCAGUGGGGAAUAUUGGACAAUGGGCGAAAGGCUGAUCCAGCAAUGCCGCGUGAGUGAUGAAGGCCUUAGGGUUGUAAAGCUCUUUUAGCCGGGAUGAUAAUGACAGUACCGGGAGAAUAAGCGCCGGCUAACUCCGUG
This 433-nucleotide ribosomal RNA is filed under the name uncultured bacterium. Its description in RNAcentral is "partial 16S ribosomal RNA". It matches the Rfam family "Bacterial small subunit ribosomal RNA", at positions 29 to 507 of the family's 1533-position model. The record is from RNAcentral.